This 200-nucleotide ribosomal RNA is filed under the name uncultured bacterium. RNAcentral describes it as "partial 16S ribosomal RNA". It matches the Rfam family "Bacterial small subunit ribosomal RNA", at positions 328 to 539 of the family's 1533-position model. The record is from RNAcentral.
ACGCUCGACACCUACGGGAGGCAGCAGUGGGGAAUAUUGCACAAUGGGGGAAACCCGUGAUGCAGCGACGCCGCGUGAGCGAAGAAGUAUUUCGGUAUGUAAAGUUCUAUCAGCAGGGAAGAAACUGACGGUACCUGACUAAGAAGCACCGGCUAAAUACGUGCCAGCAGCCGAGGUAAUCUGAGGCGGGCUGGCAAGGC